RNAcentral lists this ribosomal RNA (709 nucleotides) under uncultured marine archaeon. Its description in RNAcentral is "bacterial SSU rRNA". It matches the Rfam family "Archaeal small subunit ribosomal RNA", at positions 23 to 738 of the family's 1478-position model. The record is from RNAcentral.
CUGACUGCUAUCGGAUUGAUACUAAGCCAUGUGAGUCAUUGCAGCAAUGCAAGGCAGACGGCUCAGUAACACGUAGUCAAUCUACCCUAUGGACGGGGAUAACCUCGGGAAACUGAGGAUAAACCCCGAUAGAUCAUUAUGCCUGGAACGGUUAAUGGUCCAAAUGAUUCGUCGCCAUAGGAUGGGACUGCGGCCUAUCAGCUUGUUGGUGAGGUAAUGGCCCACCAAGGCUAUUACAGGUACGGGCUCUGAGAGGAGAAGCCCGGAGAUGGGUACUGAGACACGGACCCAGGUCCUAUGGGGCGCAGCAGGCGAGAAAACUUUGCAAUGUGCGCAAGCACGACAAGGUUAAUCCGAGUGAUUCCUGCUAAAGGAAUCUUUUGUUAGUCAUAAAACCACUGAUGAAUAAGGGGUGGGCAAGUUCUGGUGUCAGCCGCCGCGGUAAAACCAGCACCUCAAGUGGUCAGGAGGAUUAUUGGGCCUAAAGCAUCCGUAGCCUGCUUUGUAAGUUUUCGGUUAAAUCCAUCUGCUCAACUGAUGGGCCGCCGAAAAAACUGCAAAGCUAGGGAGUGGGAGAGGUAGACGGUACUCGGUAGGAAGGGGUAAAAUCCUUUGAUCUAUUGAUGACCCCCUGUGGCGAAGGCGGUCUACCAGAACACGUUCGACGGUGAGGGAUGAAAGCUGGGGGAGCAAACCGGAUUAGAUACCC